GCAACCCUCCCGCCCCGCCGGCCUCCCCUCCCCCCCCUCUCCGGUACGUCCCUCCUCCCUCCCCCGCAGAUCCGCCCGGAUCUCCCCCGCUUCCGCCAAGCACGACCGAGCUUCCUCUGCGCCGAUAGUCAGAUAGGUGAGGUUCGGCAGCAGCAUUUCGUACCGAAUUUGUGUCCAGGGGGAUUGCCGGGAUGUUCGAGCGCGCUCGGGGAAGGAUUGGAUCCCGGGACGGCCGAGCUCAUCGGGCAUGCCACGGCCGGCCAUCAUUGCUGGGUUGCUGCUGGCCUUUACGUGCAGAUGCAGUUUUUUAGUGGGUGUGGGUGCGGCUUUGUUGCCACUAUUGGGAGUUUGGGAUCUGGCCACGGGGACCCAGCACACAUUUAUCGCUCGUGGAGUUCGGUUUGCUGCCUGCCCCGAGCAUUUAUCAGCGCCAGGCCGUCCUUGUGCCAGGGGAAGGGCGACAGGUGAGGAAAUCUCGGGCGGUGUUCAGGCUGUCUCUGAUGCUGCUCCAUGCUCGGUCGAUUUUCGUUGGAAUUUCUCUGUUGGUGAUUGCUAGGGCUGUUCCAGUUUAUGCUUAGAGUGUGCGCUGGCCUGUGAUGCUUCUGCUCUGCAGUUUCGUUAGGGAUUCGGUCGUUGCCAUGAACGCCCUGCUCAAGAUUUGACCCCUGACAUGUCUGAGUACCGCCUGUAUCAACCUGUCAGUUCAGUCUGUGUGUAAGAUUUGUGUACUAACAUAGCUUAUCAUUUGCCAUCACAAACAGCUGCAUGCAAACCUGCGUUUGGUUUCCUUGCAACUUCUAGACCUGUAGAGACAGGCGGGCAGAUGUUUGCCGUGACAGCUCUGUUGUGCAGUUUGGUUAGGGGUUCCAUCGUUGCCAUGAAUGCCCUGUUCAAGGUUUCAUGGCUCACAUGCUGAAAACCAUCCAUGUCAACAUGUCAGUUAGGCCUGUCUGUAAGAUUUAUGGUUGUAUUUGGAUCUUUCAGGAUGUAUUUGCCCACACAGUUUAAGGACUUCUUCUCAUUUGCCAUCACCUACAGGGGCAUACAGACAUGCAUUCUGGUUUCCCUGUAGCUUCUGGACUUGUGGAUAUUGACAUUUGUUUAGGGUUGCCAGGUUGUGGUAUCACUGUAAACUCCAAAUUGGAUAUGCGGAUUUAUCUACUUAGAGUUACUGCUAGUUGGAACUAUCUUUUUGUGUUAACUUUCUCUUGGAUUUAAGGCUUUAUAGACUGACAUAUUUCCCAACGUUACUGCAUAAGGCAUGUGUCAGGCCUUUAGUAGUCCCUUAUUUUGGCUAUCUUUGCUUGGUUUUUAUUAUACGUUUCCAUAGAGCAGCAAAAUUAUAGGUGCACUUUUUGCAUAAAUUGUGCAAACCGCUAAUUUGUAUUAGCAAUUUAGCAUGCUUAUGCCUUGGUCUCAGUUAACACUGUGCAGAUCUCAUUUCUCCCAUGGCAGGUGAAAGUCUAGAUGGCUCCUUUGGUGCUGGGAAUGUGAAUUGCAGAAAAGAACAACUGUUUACAUUUUGGUACUGCAUGAUGAACGGUUCAACGGGUUCCCUAGGGGAUCAUGUGAACGGAAAGCAAGUGCAAAGUGUUGACCCUCCUGGUCUUUCAAGUUUCAACAAUGGACCAAGACACCGUCCGUUGAAUGCAUUGAGACGCUGCCGUGGUGUAUUGUGCUUGGUGAUUAUGCCGGUGACCGCAUGCAUGAUGAUGGUUUACCUAGCCCCUGUGACAACCUUCGUUGUACGGUUGUUCAGUGUGCAUUACAGCAGAAAGUGGACGUGCUUUCUGUUCGGGAUGUGGUUAGCCAUGUUUCCCUUUUUGUUUGAGAAGAUCAACAGGACAAGGUUUGUUUUCUCUGGUGAAAAGGUGCCCCCCAAAGAGUGUGUCUUGCUGUUUGCUAACCACAGAACUGAGGUAGAUUGGAUGUACCUGUGGGAUCUUGCAUUGAGGAAAGGCCGUUUGCAGUCUAUCAAGUACAUCCUGAAGAAAAGUUUGAUGAAGUUGCCUAUUUUCAACUGGGCAUUUCACAUUAUUGAGUUUAUUCCUGUAGAGCGGAAUUGGGAGGUUGACGAACCACUAAUCCGAAGAAGGCUUUCUGAACUGAAGUACCCCAAGGAUCCCCUUUGGCUCGCAGUUUUUCCAGAAGGCACUGAUUAUACUGAGAAGAAAUGCAUCAAAAGUCAAGAGUAUGCGGCAGAGCAUGGUUUGCCUAUUCUGAAAAAUGUCCUCCUUCCCAAGAUAAAAGGUUUCAAUUGCUGCCUGCAAGAGCUGAGGAGUAACUUGGAUGCUGUUUACGACAUCACGAUCGCAUACAAGCAUCGGCUCCCAACGUUCAUGGACAACGUGUACGGCGUCGACCCUUCCGAGGUCCACAUCCACACCAAGAUCAUCCAGGUCUCUGACAUACCGACAGCAGAGGACGAAGUAUCCAGCUGGCUGACGGAGAGGUUCAGACUGAAGGACGAGCUCCUGUCUGAUUUUUUGACACAAGGCCACUUCCCCAAUGAAGGAACCGAAGAAGACCUGUCCACGCUCAAGUGCGUCGCGAAUUUUGUUGCGGUGAUCGGCAUGACGGCCUUCUUCAUCUACCUGACCCUGUUCUCGUCCGUGUGGUUCAGGGUGUUCGCGGGGUGCAGCGCCUCUUUCCUCACGUAUGCGACCCUGUACUCUGUACACGCGCCCCAGAUCGUGUGUUUGCCGGAGGCCGGCGCCCACGCCAAGAAAGCUUGAGCUUGGCGUUGUAAGCCGGAGCUGGAAGCUGUGUAUGUGUGUCCGCAUGCAGUAGAAACAUGUUUACUGCGUAUACGCAGCUUGUGGUGUCAUUCUUUUGUAUGUGUGUAUGGUGAGUGGCAUCUACAGUUGGGGGUAGAACUUUUAACUCCACUCUUGACUCUUUUUUGGAGCAAAAUACGAAGACUGCAUUACAAAAGUGGACGGAGCCAAAAUCGGUCGCCACGUAUCUUUUGUCUAUACUUAAAAGCAG
This 2988-nucleotide ribosomal RNA is filed under the name Triticum aestivum (bread wheat). RNAcentral describes it as "partial small subunit ribosomal RNA". The record is from RNAcentral. Lineage: Eukaryota; Viridiplantae; Streptophyta; Magnoliopsida; Poales; Poaceae.